This 1499-nucleotide long non-coding RNA is filed under the name Papio anubis (olive baboon). RNAcentral describes it as "lncRNA (ENSPANG00000048416.1)". Lineage: Eukaryota; Metazoa; Chordata; Mammalia; Primates; Cercopithecidae. The record is from RNAcentral.
CUUUUAUCAAUUGCUGCAAGUAUCUUCUUUCAGUGUGUGGCUUCCUUUUUCACUCCGUUUGUUGUUUUUUUAAUCGAAGUAUAAGUUCUUAAUUUUAACGCAUUUGAACUGUCAUUUUCCACCACGGCCCGAGUCGCGGAGCCCGCCUUCCUGGCCAGAGCGCUGCGUGGUCACAGCUGGGGUCUGGGGAGCAGAGGCUGCGGGCGCUCCCGGGGGUUGGGGGGGAGAGCUGGGCGAUUUCGGCGGGGGGAGGUGCCGCUCGAGGGGCCGCCAGGCUGCGCGAGGAAGGAGGGCCUGGAGGCCGCGGGGGUCCUCGGCGCAGACUGGAGCCGCAGGCACCGCGCGCAGCCCCCGUCCGCCUCGCCGAGGCCCCGCGGGCCCAGGAGCGCGAGGUCUGGCGCCCAGGACCAGAGGGGGUCGGCGGGAGCAGGCGCCGCCUCCAAAGGACGCCCUCGCCCUCCCGCAGGCGCUGGCUCCAGACCCUGACCAGCCAGCUGGGAGCUGAGCCGGGGUAGGGCCGGGCAGCCCAGAGGAUCAGAACGGGGUUUUCUCCCGGGGUUGGGGGUUCUUUGGCCAGCGCCGCCCUCCCCCGCCGGGGCCGCCCACCCGCAAGCCCCGCCCCGAAGGCUGGAGCUUCCCUGGGGAUGGGCGAAGCCGAGGCCACGCCCUGAAGGCGGGAGCGGCUUUGGGGCGGGACCUGGCAGCCCUCAGGGCUCCAGCGCCAAGUUCAGAGCCACGCGCUGCUCUUGGCCGGGAGGAGGCUGUGCUGCCCCAGCACCUCUUGCUCCACAUCUCCAGAGAGCCCAGUGAAGAAAACACCAAGGUCACCCUCUUUAUAGAUCAGAAAACAGAGGCCUGGAGAGGACCCACACCUUGCCCAAGGUCACAGGUUGGAGAGAGCAGAGCUGACCCUGGAGCCCGUGCACUUAACAUCUAUGUGGAUGGAAGACUCCAAGGUUACCUGAGACAACCUGGUUAAGGUAUAGACAGGUAAUGUGGGAGAAUGUGGCCAGUGGUUCCUAGAUGAGUGAAUGAUCAGUGUGCGGUCAGGGUCCAGAGGAUGGGUGAUAAACUGAGAACCACAAGCUCUUAACACCAUGGGGUAUGUGAGGCUUCAUCUCCCAGGAUGCAGCACCUGCUGAGUUGGGCAAUAGGGGAUCCUGGUUGAUGGCCCAGCUGGGUUGGGAGCCUUGGGGAGAUGUGCUCUGUGUUGGUGGGGAAGGCCAGGCAUGGUUAGAUCCCCUGUAGAAAUUGGGGAGCUCAGUUUCAGAAAGUUUCAAAGAUCAUCACUUGAUUUCUGUGAUUCACGUGAUCUGAGGGCUCUGAAAGUGGUGGGUUAGUCCUGGAAUGAAAUCUGCUUUUUUUCAAGUAGGAAAGACAUGGGGUGGCCAUGAGAGACAUCUGUGUGGCUCAGAAAGAUGUCUUGCUGAGGUCAGAGGGACAAGAGCCAAGGAGGACAAGAGGAGCCCUUCCCAGGACACUCACAAUGACAGAGUGAC